RNAcentral lists this unclassified non-coding RNA (255 nucleotides) under Glomus sp. RNAcentral describes it as "partial contains 5.8S ribosomal RNA and internal transcribed spacer 2". The stretch from base 1 to 71 matches the Rfam family "5.8S ribosomal RNA", at positions 84 to 154 of the family's 154-position model. The record is from RNAcentral. Lineage: Eukaryota; Fungi; Glomeromycota; Glomeromycetes; Glomerales; Glomeraceae.
GUGAAUCAUCGAAUUUUUGAACGCAAAUUGCACUCUCUGGUAUUCCGGAGAGUAUGCCUGUUUGAGGGUCAGUUUAAAUAAAAAUCGGUGUGGUUGCUGCCUUACGUGGUGACGCAUCGGCUUUGGGUCGUCUUGCCUUCGGUUAAGUGACCUAAAACUCUGCAUGAUUUUUUUCGAACGUAAUUAAAUGAUUUUACGUCCGUUUUCUGUAUCUAAUAAUAGGUGUUGUCUACCUCAUGAUUUGCUCUGAUAAUU